This 845-nucleotide ribosomal RNA is filed under the name Paraclostridium bifermentans. RNAcentral describes it as "bacterial SSU rRNA". It matches the Rfam family "Bacterial small subunit ribosomal RNA", at positions 36 to 913 of the family's 1533-position model. The record is from RNAcentral. Lineage: Bacteria; Bacillati; Bacillota; Clostridia; Peptostreptococcales; Peptostreptococcaceae.
UUUCCGGAUCGAGGACACCAUGCAGUCGAGCGAUCUCUUCGGAGAGAGCGGCGGACGGGUGAGUAACGCGUGGGUAACCUGCCCUGUACACACGGAUAACAUACCGAAAGGUAUACUAAUACGGGAUAACAUAUGAAAGUCGCAUGGCUUUUGUAUCAAAGCUCCGGCGGUACAGGAUGGACCCGCGUCUGAUUAGCUAGUUGGUAAGGUAAUGGCUUACCAAGGCAACGAUCAGUAGCCGACCUGAGAGGGUGAUCGGCCACACUGGAACUGAGACACGGUCCAGACUCCUACGGGAGGCAGCAGUGGGGAAUAUUGCACAAUGGGCGAAAGCCUGAUGCAACAACGCCGCGUGAGCGAUGAAGGCCUUCGGGUCGUAAAGCUCUGUCCUCAAGGAAGAUAAUGACGGUACUUGAGGAGGAAGCCCCGGCUAACUACGUGCCAGCAGCCGCGGUAAUACAUAGGGGGCUAGCGAUAUCCGGAAUUACUGGGCGUAAAGGGUGCGUAGGUGGGUUUUUCAGUCAGAAGUGAAAGGCUACGGCUCAACCGUAGUAAGCUUUUGAAACUAGAGAACUUGAGUGCAUGACAUGAUAGUAGAAUUCCUAGUGUAGCGGUGAAAUGCGUAGAUAUUAGGAGGAAUACCAGUAGCGAACGCCGCUCUCUGGACUGUAACUGACACUGAGGCACGAAAGCGUGGGGAGCAAACAAGAUUAGAUACCCUGGUACCCACGCCGUAAACGAUGAGUACUAGGUGUCCGGGGUUUACUCCCCUCGGUGCCGCAACUAACGCAUUAAUUACUCCCCCUGGGAAGGACGCUCGCCAGAAUGAAAUUCCAAAGAAAUGA